Molecule: ribosomal RNA, 455 nt
Filed under: uncultured bacterium
Lineage: Bacteria
Description: bacterial SSU rRNA
Rfam family: Bacterial small subunit ribosomal RNA
Source: RNAcentral
CGGAGGCAGCAGUAAGGAAUAUUGGGCAAUGGUCGGAAGACUGACCCAGCCAUGCCGCGUGCAGGAAGAAGGCGCUUAGCGUUGUAAACUGCUUUUGUCGGAGAAGAAAAUACCCCUGCGGGGGUGCCUGACGGUAUCCGACGAAUAAGCAUCGGCUAACUACGUGCCAGCAGCCGCGGUAAUACGUAGGAUGCAAGCGUUGUCCGGAUUUAUUGGGUUUAAAGGGUGCGUAGGUGGGGAAUUAAGUCGUGGGUGAAAGCUGGUAGCUUAACUAUCAAAAUGCCUGUGAUACUGGUUUUCUUGAAUACGGUGGAGGUAACUGGAAUGGGUGGUGUAGCGGUGAAAUGCAUAGAUACCAUCCGGAACACCAAUUGCGUAGGCAGGUUACUACGCCGUGAUUGACACUGAGGCACGAAAGCGUGGGGAUCAAACAGGAUUAGAUACCCGUGUAGUCC